This is a non-coding RNA of Vicugna pacos (alpaca), 2136 nucleotides long. NCBI's taxonomy places the organism in Eukaryota, Metazoa, Chordata, Mammalia, Artiodactyla, Camelidae. The record is from RefSeq and is a predicted model, not a curated record.
CAUUUUUCCCCCCAACACAUCUUGUGUUGCAGCUAAUACUAGAAAUUCAAUGGUCGACUCAUACUUACAGUGUUAGAAAAAUAAGAUUCUGACUAUGAAGCAAAAAUUGUUUUAGGUUGGAGAAGUAGAUAAUAGUAAGAAUAAGGAGUUUUGCAAAAGCCAAGAGCCUUCAGAUGGUCAGAGAAAGUAUCUAAUGCUGAAAGACAGAGAGCUGAAUAAUGUCAUCAAAAUCUGCCUUUUGUCUCGUGCUGCUACAGCUAUUUUUCCCGAUGUUUACACUACCUGCUACACAUACAGGUACCAGGGGAGCUUUUAGAAAUGCCAAUGGCAAGGACUCCACCACAGAUGAAUUAAAUCAGAAUGACCAGGGACCUGGGCAUCACUAUUUGAGAGCUACCCAGAGGAUUCUGAUGUACAGCAAGAGCUCUUUAGGCCUUGCUGAUUGGCAUAUUCUUGGAGAACAGAGAAAUAUAUAGCAAAACUCUUCCAGAAACUUGGAAUUUGUAGGGAGGGGAAAGCAUGGAGGCUUCUCUGGAUAAGCCUGUUCGAGAAGAGGAAUUAACUCAAUUUACGAGUAAAGAAACUGAGGCUAAACUGUUAUUCAAGACCACACAGCCAACUGACCCACACACUCUGAACCCAGUCUGUGUUCUAUCUAAGACUUCACACUACCUUACUCAGAGUUUAUCUACCUGAAAAUAAUGUUCAAAGCAGUAAUCUAAGGUAUCACUAUUUAUACCAAAACGAUAUCACACAACCUGUAUCUAAAAGUCUUCACAACAGAUAUAUCUUUGGUAAGGAGGGGGACCUAAUACUACUUACCAAUGACCCUGCCUUUGUAACAUGCAAAUUUUGUUUGUUUGUUUUACCUUUUCAGUUUUAUUAAACUGAGAUCAGAAAAAUCCUCAUCUUUUUAAUAGUUUAUGGUCAUUUAAUUUUAUCAUGAACCUGCAGUAAUGCUUACUAUAUUUACAAAUCACUAAGUGAAAUUUUUAAAACCAUUUUCCUCCUCUAAUCUCUCCCAUCCUGCCUUCUUAGAAGUACACAAAGCAUUUCAACCACUCCCAAAUUCCCUCUUGUAAUACCCUUAACGAUUCUGAAAUAUUUUGUUAUUCCCCAAACACCGCCCUAAAGACAAAUCAUUGGACUCCAGACUCUUUGCACUGCCAAGUUGAAUAGAGUUCAAAUGUUCUAUCUAACCAAACUCUAACUUACAACAAAGACACAUAUAGUAGAUGAUGUGUAAGGUAUUCCGAAAAUACCAGGGCAACAGAAAAAAAAAAUCUGUCAUCAAGAGGUCCUCCCAGAACUUCUUGUAAUCUGGAAUAGUCAUUUUUAUCAAUAUCCUUUAACCUGAUCAUUACACACAUUUGUAUAUCCAUAUAACUAACAAGUCAAGUUUCAUUUUAGUAAUGUAUAGCUAAGAUUUCUCACAACCAAAACAAUAAAUACUUCAAAAUUUAUGAUUCUUUUCUCCACUUUAGAUGUCAGAGCAUGCAUAAGGACUUGAGGGGAAAACAAAACAAGGAAAACAAUCUUAGCCUGAUAAAAUAAAAAAUUUAAAUAAAAUUAUAAAUCAUUUAAAAUAUAGUCUUUCUUUUUGAACUAACCAUACUAAAACAUGAUAUGAAACAGAGCACAAAUAAGGUAGUAUCCAAAAAGAUAUAGGAUCUAUUAGGAUUUCCUUUUAUGUUAAAAAAAAAAAAAGGCCCAUGGAAGGACAGUUUUCAGGAUGACCCAAGCAAAGCCAGGCACCUCUUCUACUAGAAUCUUCACCAAAAUGCACACUCCCUUGACCCUGCAGUUUUGAUUUCAGACCCAUUUCUUGCCCAAGUUUACUAGGAGUUUUCCUCAGCUUCAAGCCCAUCCCACUGAGAAGACCUCUGGAGACAUUCAAUAUUUGAAGUAAGUUCCGCCUUCAGAUUAUUUUCAGAAACAUAAGAACAUCAAAGCAAACUGUGUAAAGCCACAUAAGAAUGGUUGAAUUUAAAUUUUUUCAAAUUAUAAGCACCGUGAAGACAAGGAUCUCCUUUUCCCUAUUACUAUUGCAUUACUUAUACCUGGAAUAAUGCACAGCACAUAGCAGACACUUAAUAAAUUCAGUACUUGUAAGAAUGAGGCAGUUCUACAAAUCUC